AUUGAACGCUGGCGGUAUGCUUAACACAUGCAAGUCGAACGGUAACAGGUCUUCGGACGCUGACGAGUGGCGGACGGGUGAGUAACGCGUAGGAAUCUGCCUAUUAGUGGGGGACAACAUGUGGAAACGCAUGCUAAUACCGCAUACGCCCUACGGGGGAAAGGAGGGGACCUUCGGGCCUUUCGCUAAUAGAUGAGCCUGCGUUAGAUUAGCUAGUUGGUGGGGUAAAGGCCUACCAAGGCGACGAUCUAUAGCUGUUCUGAGAGGAAGAUCAGCCACACUGGGACUGAGACACGGCCCAGACUCCUACGGGAGGCAGCAGUGGGGAAUAUUGGACAAUGGGCGCAAGCCUGAUCCAGCAAUACCGCGUGUGUGAAGAAGGCCCUAGGGUUGUAAAGCACUUUCAAUGGGGAGGAAAAAGAAGUAAGACUAAUACCUUGCUUAUUGACAUUACCCAUACAAGAAGCACCGGCUAACUCCGUGCCAGCAGCCGCGGUAA
Molecule: ribosomal RNA, 499 nt
Filed under: uncultured bacterium
Lineage: Bacteria
Description: bacterial SSU rRNA
Rfam family: Bacterial small subunit ribosomal RNA
Source: RNAcentral